This 295-nucleotide long non-coding RNA is filed under the name Cricetulus griseus (Chinese hamster). RNAcentral describes it as "lncRNA (ENSCGRG00000025930.1)". The record is from RNAcentral. Lineage: Eukaryota; Metazoa; Chordata; Mammalia; Rodentia; Cricetidae.
CACAGGAUAGAUAGAUACCCAGUGAUUCCCAUUCCAAAGGCUGUGCACGUCUUCGUCUUCCUUCACCGUAGGGGUGAUGCUUGGAAGUAGCAGAUACGACUGAAAGUAAAAACUUCCACAAAAUGCACGAGAGAUCGGCAAAGAAUUCCAGAACACAUCCAACGUAGAAGACUCUGUCUUGAAUCUGGUUGGAAGCCACGCCAUGCAUUCUGGGAGCAAAGGGUUUGAUACAACACUAGAAUCUUGAACAGCUGUGGGAACGAGGGUGUCAGGGCAAUGCACAGAAACCAGAUGU